ACACGUCUACAUUAGAUACCCGGGUAGUCCCAGCCGUAAACUAUGCGCGUUAGGUGUAUCGGUGACCACGAGUCACCGAGGUGCCGAAGGGAAACCGUGAAACGUGCCGCCAGGGAAGUACGGUCGCAAGGCUGAAACUUAAAGGAAUUGGCGGGGAGCACCACAACGGGUGGAGCCUGCGGUUUAAUUGGACUCAACGCCGGGAAGCUCACCGGAUAAGACAGCGGAAUGAUUGCCGGGCUGAAGACUCUGCAUGACUAGCUG
Molecule: ribosomal RNA, 264 nt
Filed under: uncultured archaeon
Lineage: Archaea
Description: partial 16S ribosomal RNA
Rfam family: Archaeal small subunit ribosomal RNA
Source: RNAcentral